CCUAAGACAGUUGGCUUAUAUGCCUCCUUCUGGCAACUGCAGCAGCCAAGCUGUCUCCAAACGUCUUGCUCUACUUUCCUUUGGAUCCCAUCCGUGAGGUCAAGAGGGGGGUCUUCUCUGGGCAGCCCAGGACCUCCAUUCAUGCUGCCCAGGCUUGCAUCCUGGAAAGGUCACUUCGGUGCUGCUAACACAGCAGUUUGACUUCACCCCUGGAGGCCCACUCCGCUGUCUGUCAAGAGAAACAGAUGCCAACAAGAAAACGUGUGUAUUUCUCCCUCUUUCCCGAAGCCGUUGGGAGUGUUCCAGAGAAGCCAUCGCACAGCAGGGAUGUUGUUAGUGGGCAGCCUAGUGGACCUCGGCCAUUAAUGCCAGGCUCCAGAUCUCCUGCCUUUCCCCCCCUCCUGCCAAUUGUUACUGUGCAAAUGUUAUUGACUUGUGAUUAGGAGCUUGCAAGGACUUGCCAUAGUUGGAUGAGAUGCAGAAGGGAUUAUGUCUGUGUAAAGGAGAAGUCAUGUUGGCUGUUGGACAGACUUGUUUCAGGUUUAAUAUGUACAUAAGCAGCCGUUCUUGCCAGUACAUUGUGGGUGGGUGGGUUCAGUCCCCGUGCGUUGUAUCGGGUCCAGGAAAUCCUCUUGCAACCGAGACCCCUGAAUAGGAAGAGCCAGAUUAUGUCCUCACGCCAACCCUGAAAGUUAGCUUAAAUCCAGUGCGUAUCAAUCAACAUAUACAAAAUGUAUUCCUAUGCCUUGAGUCCUUGAAGUAAGAACAUAGGAAGGGUCUUGCAGGAUCAGGCCCACCCACCCAGUCCUGCAUCCUGUUCUUAGAAGACUCAGCAUGGCUCUUUAGGCAUAAAAUGUUUUGCUAGCAAAAAUGGGAUGUUUCUGGGUUCUGGAAAUUCCCAGCAUGGAUGCCAGGUGGAGUCUUUAGCUAAUGGGCUUUGAUGGCAUUUCUGGUCUUUAUCCCAGCUCUUUAGCAAAGCAGACUCUAUCUCAGCCUUUGUUUUUAUUCUAUUAGUCCUCCUAGCAGAAUGCAUCUACUCCAAACCACCAGAAGCACCCAGUUCUACGGUUGAUCGCCCAGCCUCCCACUCUCAAAACUAUUACACCUUUCCAUUUUGUUCUGCUUAAUUUCCUCGGGACAUUCCAAAAGAAUAUUCCUGAGCGUGGUAAACACCCAGAAGAGAGCUUGGUUGCGACAAACACUUUGCAAGCCAGCUCCUUCCUUGCUCUGCAAUACCUGCAAAAUGUUCUCUCUCUGCUCACAGCAGAUUCUUUGCAAAUUGAUUCGGAUUUGCUUUGUUAAAUCUCGGGUGGUUAGCCAGCAUCAUGAGUCAGCAUACUUGAAAGCCUGUUUUAAUUUAAAACAGAGCAGGUAUAUCUGCUGUUCAGCUAAGCAAAGGGAACCUCAUCCUGAUAAAACUAAAUGAUAUGUACCUUGACCAUCGCGGUCUUUCAUGUGUUGAGCAGACAGGGAAAGGAGCCCAUGGGCAUUUUUGCCCUACAGGUUUGCAUCAGUUCUACUGUCCUGGCUUCCCAUUUUCUGAAAAUGGGAAAAAUGCUCUCUUGCAGCCCGACCUCUUCCAUAAAACUACACUUCCCUUGGGAGAGCAGCUGAAAUCCAGUCCGGCUUCAGGCCUGUUCAUGGAAUUGAGACUGCCUUGGUCUUUGGGGGUGGCCCAUCCUAUUUCACUGCCUGAGGAUCUUAGGAUGAAAAGUGGGUAAAUAAGGCAAAUACUAAUAAUAAAUUUCGGGUGUUCCUAUGGCAGGGGUAGCCAAUGCAUUCCACAGGUCGAGUGCCACCACCGAGAAGGCCCUCUGCCUGGUUCACAGUAACCUCACUUCUUGCAAUGAGGGAACCGCUAGAAGGCCCUCAGCGUUGGAUCUCAGUGUCCGGGCUGAAUGAUGGGGAUGGAGACGCUCCUUCAGGUAUACUGGACCAAGGCCGUUUAGGGCUUUAAAGGUCAGCACCAACACUUUGAAUUGUGCUCGGAAGCAUACAGGGAGCCAAUGCAGGUCUUUCAAGACCGGUGUUAUAUGGUCUCGGCAGCCGCUGCCAGUCACCAGUCUAGCUGCCGCAUUCUGGAUUAAUUGCAGUUUCCGGGUCACCUUCAAAGGUAGCCCCACGUAGAGCGCAUUGCAGUUGUCCAAGCGGGAGAUAACUAGAGCAUGCACCACUCUGGCGAGACAGUCUGCGGAAAGGGAGGGUCUCAUCCUGUGUACCAGAUGGGGCUAGUAAACAGCUGCCCUGGACACAGAAUUGACCUGCACCUCCAUGGACAGCAACAUUAAAGCAUCAGUCAUUAAAAACUGCCUUCAGAUGUCUUCUAAAUGUCAGAUAGUUGUUUAUUCAACUAUCUGAUAAUUCCACGGUCUGUGAGCACUUAGAAAAGGAUGUUGUGAUUACUAAGACCCAGCAUGGGUUUCUCAAAAACAAGUCAAACCAAAUUAAUCUCUUUUUUUCCUUUUUUUCUCUGCAGAGUUACAAGCUUGGUGAAUCAAGGGUAGGACUCGAACCGAUGGCUUCGUGUUACAAGAAUGGAGAUUCAAAACUAAAGAUCUGGAAGAUCUGGAAGAACUUUCUGACAGCAAGAGCUGCUCAACAAGUCUCCCUCGGGAGGUUGUGGACUCUCCUUUCUUGCAGGUUUUUGAGCAGAGUUUGGAUGGACAUCUGUCAUGGAUGCUUUUGUUGAGAUUCCUGCACUGGAGGGGAUUGGACAAAUUGGCCCCUGGGGUCCCUUCCAACUUUUAAAUUCCACGAUUCCCCGAAACGGCUUGUUGCGAGGUUUUGAAACAAUUUGUACGAGACAGCUGGGCGAAGUCAGCCAGAGGUGUUGGGGCUGACGUGUUGUCUCAGUUUCCAGAAGGCAUUUGGUUCUCGAAUCGCUUUGCCAUGGAGUAAUCCCAAGGAGGCUUACGAGAACUCUCCAACAGAGUCCUGGGAAUGGUUCUGGGGCAGAUGAGAGGGAUCUGUCAAUUUUGCUUUCUCUCACUUUUUCAUUAUCCCAUGCUUGAGUUUCCUUUGCCAGAUUUCCACAUCAAGUUUGUGUGUGUUUGUGUGUCUUAAACCAUCAUAAAAAAAAAUCAGUGUUUUAGCGUGGCUUUCUCUCUAUAUAUUGCAGUGUUGGGAAAACUUAUUGAAUAUUGUGGAGUUGGAAAAGGUUCAGAAAAUGAUCGAGGGGAUGAAGCAAAUCCUUUAUGAAGAAAGUUUGCAGUGUUUGGGACUUCUUAGUUUGAAGGAAAGGCAAGCAAAAGGUGACAUGAUAGACAUUUAUAAAAUUCUGCACUUCCACUUACAUGUUUUGCCAAACACUGCCUUGGGACGGUUUUGACCCUUAAAGGCAGUCUAUGCAUAUUUUAAUUACCGUAUUUUUCUGUCUGUAAGAUGCCCACAUGUAUAAGACGCCUCCUAUUUUGGGGGACUCUGAUUUAAGAAAAGGGGGAAUAUGUAUAAGAUGCCCCCAAAUUUUGGACAUUAUUUUUUAGGGAAAAAACCUAGUCUUUUACACGGAAAAAUACAGUAAUCAAUCAAAUAUUGUUGUAUAUACGCAGCCGUGUUUUUAUAUUGGUGAUCGGUUAUAUAUAAUCCAUGUUAUUACUGGGUUGCAAAAUCGCUUCUGGAUGCUUCGUAGCAAGAGAUUCAUAGCUCAGUUGGUAGAGCAUGAAAGGUUGUGGGUUCGAGUCCCAAGUUGGGCAAAAUAUUCCUGCAUUGCAAGGGACUGCAUUAGAUCCCAGUGGUCCCUCCCAGCCGUACAAUUCUAUGAUUCUCUGGUGUGAAUAAUGAGAAAAGAAGGGAAAACUUGUCCACUUUCUCCACGCUAGACAUAAUUGAUUUUUGUGAAGCUUACUCCUGUUUCCCUCUUACCGUAUUUUUCGCUCUAUAAGAUGCAAUUCCCCCCUCCUAAAAAGUAAGGGGAAAUGUGUGUGCGUCUUAUGGAGCUCCCGCUGCACUCCUGAGGCUUUGUGUUGCUUUCGCUGAAGCCAGGAGAGCAAGAGGGAUCGGUGCACACUGAUCCCUCUUGCUCUCCUGGCUUCACUUCGCUGGAGAGGCACUGCGCAACUUUCCCUCUCUGCGCAGCGCCCCUUCAGCGAAGUGGGAGGAGAAAUGGAAGGGGCUCCGUUUCUCCUGCCGCUUCGCUGAAGAAGCGCUGUGCAGAGAGGGAGAGAAUAUUUUUUCCCCUUGUUCUCCCCCUCUAAAACUAGGUGCGUCUUAUGGUCGGGUGCAUCUUAUAGAGCAAAAAUACAGUAGUUCUCCCCCCCCCCACCGCCCAAAAUUAAAAACUUCGCAAUGCUUUUGUUCAGCCUUUGGCAACCGGGUGCCCUCCAGAUGUUUGGACUAUAACUCCCGCCAGCCCCAGCUGGAAGGCGCCCAGUUGAUGAAGCGCACCCUUCUUGGGAAAGUGCUCCAUGUUCCCGCUAAACACAUGUUUUCCAAGCUCGAAAAUACCCUUUUUGAGAUGAAGUAACCAACACCAUGCACGAUCUUCCAAAUCUAGCCGUCACCAUAGAUUUAUGUAGGAUCAUUACGAUGCAAGUUGUUUUCAAUUUCCUUCCCUUUCCUCAUAAUUCCUAAUAAUUCCUAGGACAGAAUUGAUCUGCUCUCCCGCUGCAAAUAGAUGAAAGUUUUCCAUUUGAGUCAUUUUUGUCUUGCCAACCCAAUCAAGGCGCAUGCAUGUUGAUGUGCUUUAAUCUCUUUUACCGUAAAUCUCAGUUGUUUUCAUAUAUUUUUACCUGCUUUUUCUUGAUGGUCUUAAUACUUCUGGCAAGCUGCUUAGAGAUUGUUCUGCGCAAAUUUUACAAAAUAAAUAAAAACAAACUUCAUUCACCAUGACCCCAAGAUCUCUUUGCUGGAGAGUCGCUGCCAGUUGAGACCCCAUUAAAAAUAAUAAUUAUAAGUUGUGUGUCUUUGUUUUUCAAUUUAAACCUUUUACAUCAGUUUGUACGCAUUGUGGUAUUUUAUGUAUUGUUAAGAGUGAAUUUCUGUUUAAUUAUUAUUUGCUGAUGUUUUGAGAGUUAAUUUAAUUGUGUACUGUUAUAUUCUAAUAGAAUAUUGAAUAUUACUUUAUUUGAUAUGAGUUGUUCCAUUUUAAAGUUAUGCUUUAUUACGACUUUCUGUAUAGGAUCAGAUUAUUAUAAGGUGUGUGUUCUUUGUUUGUUGCUGCAAACUGCCUUGUGUAUAGUAAUAUAGAAAGGCGGUAUACAAAUCAAAAGUGGAUUGAAACUGAGUGAAAUAUCAAGUUACCUGAUACUGCCCACUCCGUUACAAAUUUGUUUGGCCUCUCCUGAAGCUGAGAGUUACCCUCUUAAGCCAUGUUUGCGCAAUAAAUUUUAAGCUCUUAUACCCGAC
Podarcis lilfordi (Lilford's wall lizard) is the source of this 5343-nucleotide non-coding RNA. NCBI's taxonomy places the organism in Eukaryota, Metazoa, Chordata, Lepidosauria, Squamata, Lacertidae. The record is from the annotation of a GenBank genome assembly.